UAGUUAAGUUCUUGAAACUCAAAGAAUUUGGCGGUGUUUUAGUCUAUUCAGAGGAAUCUGUCCCAUAAUUGAUAAUUCACGAAUAUAAUUAACUUGAUUUUGUAUAAAAUCAGCUUGUAUACCGCCGUCAUCAGAUUAUUUUUUUAGAAUAUUUUCUUAAAAUUUUAUUAGAUUAUAUGUCAGGUCAAGGUGCAGUUUAUAAUUAAGAGGAGAUGGAUUACAAUAAAAUUAUUUAUUUACGGAUGUUAUAAUGAAAUUUUUGACUGAAGGUGGAUUUGAUAGUAAAAUUAUUUUUAGUAGUUUGAUUUAAGCUCUAAAACAUGUACACAUCGCCCGUCGCUCUCGUUUAUUAAGGCGAGAUAAGUCGUAACAUAGUAGAUGUACUGGAAAGUGUAUCUAGAAAGA
Molecule: ribosomal RNA, 405 nt
Filed under: Hypocophoides sp. SAW-OZ
Lineage: Eukaryota; Metazoa; Arthropoda; Insecta; Orthoptera; Anostostomatidae
Description: partial 12S ribosomal RNA
Rfam family: Microsporidia small subunit ribosomal RNA
Source: RNAcentral